GUAGGGAAUAUUGGACAAUGGGCGAGAGCCUGAUCCAGCCAUGCCGCGUGCAGGAAGAAGGCCUUCUGGGUUGUAAACUGCUUUUGCCGGGGGAUAAAAUACCCAUGCGUGGGGAAUUGAAGGUACCCGGUGAAUAAGCCACGGCUAACUACGUGCCAGCAGCCGCGGUAAUACGUAGGUGGCGAGCGUUGUCCGGAUUUAUUGGGUUUAAAGGGUGCGUAGGCGGCCCCGUUAGUCAGCGGUGAAAUACGGCAGCUUAACUGUCGAGGUGCCGUUGAUACUGCGGGGCUUGAGUGCGGUCGAGGAGGGCGGAAUUGACGGUGUAGCGGUGAAAUGCUUAGAUAUCGUCAAGAACACCGAUAGCGAAGGCAGCCCUCCAGGCCGCAACUGACGCUGAGGCACGAAAGUGCGGGGAUCAAACAGGAUUAGAUACCCCAGUAGUCC
Molecule: ribosomal RNA, 444 nt
Filed under: uncultured bacterium
Lineage: Bacteria
Description: bacterial SSU rRNA
Rfam family: Bacterial small subunit ribosomal RNA
Source: RNAcentral